CGGUGGGGCGUGCCUAUACUGCAAGUCGAACGAACUCUGGUAUUGAUUGGUGCUUGCAUCAUGAUUUACAUUUGAGUGAGUGGCGAACUGGUGAGUAACACGUGGGAAACCUGCCCAGAAGCGGGGGAUAACACCUGGAAACAGAUGCUAAUACCGCAUAACAACUUGGACCGCAUGGUCCGAGUUUGAAAGAUGGCUUCGGCUAUCACUUUUGGAUGGUCCCGCGGCGUAUUAGCUAGAUGGUGAGGUAACGGCUCACCAUGGCAAUGAUACGUAGCCGACCUGAGAGGGUAAUCGGCCACAUUGGGACUGAGACACGGCCCAAACUCCUACGGGAGGCAGCAGUAGGGAAUCUUCCACAAUGGACGAAAGUCUGAUGGAGCAACGCCGCGUGAGUGAAGAAGGGUUUCGGCUCGUAAAACUCUGUUGUUAAAGAAGAACAUAUCUGAGAGUAACUGUUCAGGUAUUGACGGUAUUUAACCAGAAAGCCACGGCUAACUACGUGCCAGCAGCCGCGGUAAUACGUAGGUGGCAAGCGUUGUCCGGAUUUAUUGGGCGUAAAGCGAGCGCAGGCGGUUUUUUAAGUCUGAUGUGAAAGCCUUCGGCUCAACCGAAGAAGUGCAUCGGAAACUGGGAAACUUGAGUGCAGAAGAGGACAGUGGAACUCCAUGUGUAGCGGUGAAAUGCGUAGAUAUAUGGAAGAACACCAGUGGCGAAGGCGGCUGUCUGGUCUGUAACUGACGCUGAGGCUCGAAAGUAUGGGUAGCAAACAGGAUUAGAUACCCUGGUAGUCCAUACCGUAAACGAUGAAUGCUAAGUGUUGGGAGGGUUUCCGCCCUUCAGUGCUGCAGCUAACGCAUUAAGCAUUCCGCCUGGGGGAGUACGGCCGCAAGGCUGAAACUCAAAGGAAUUGACGGGGGCCCGCACAAGCGGUGGAGCAUGUGGUUUAAUUCGAAGCUACGCGAAGAACCUUACCAGGUCUUGACAUACUAUGCAAAUCUAAGAGAUUAGACGUUCCCUUCGGGGACAUGGAUACAGGUGGGUGCAUGGUUGUCGUCAGCUCGUGUCGUGAAAAUGUUUGGGUUAAGUCCCGCAACGAG
This 1100-nucleotide ribosomal RNA is filed under the name Lactiplantibacillus paraplantarum. Its description in RNAcentral is "bacterial SSU rRNA". It matches the Rfam family "Bacterial small subunit ribosomal RNA", at positions 34 to 1096 of the family's 1533-position model. Lineage: Bacteria; Bacillati; Bacillota; Bacilli; Lactobacillales; Lactobacillaceae. The record is from RNAcentral.